UACGUAGGGUGCGAGCGUUAAUCGGAAUUACUGGGCGUAAAGCGUGCGCAGGCGGUUCGCUGUGUCCUGUGUGAAAGCCCCCGGGCUUAACCUGGGAAUGGGCAUGGGAAACUGGCGGGCUGGGAGUGGUGGCAGAGGGGGGUGGGAAUUCCGACGUGUAGCAGUGAAAUGCGUAGAGAUGUGGAGGAACACCGAUGGCGAAGGCAGCCCCCUGGGCUAACACUGACGCCUCAUGCACGAAAGCGUGGGGAGCAAACAGG
Molecule: ribosomal RNA, 260 nt
Filed under: uncultured bacterium
Lineage: Bacteria
Description: partial 16S ribosomal RNA
Rfam family: Bacterial small subunit ribosomal RNA
Source: RNAcentral